CUAAUACCGCAUGACAUAUCGGAACCACAUGGUUUUGAUAUCAAAGAUUUUAUCGCUUGAAGAUGGACUCGCGUCCGAUUAGUUAGUUGGUGAGGUAACGGCUCACCAAGACCGCGAUCGGUAGCCGGACUGAGAGGUUGAACGGCCACAUUGGGACUGAGACACGGCCCAGACUCCUACGGGAGGCAGCAGUGGGGGAUAUUGCGCAAUGGGGGCAACCCUGACGCAGCAACGCCGCGUGAAGGAUGAAGGUUUUCGGAUUGUAAGCUUCUUUUAUUAAGGACGAAAAUUGACGGUACUUAAUGAAUAAGCUCCGGCUAACUACGUGCCAGCAGCCGCGGUAAUACGUAGGGAGCAAGCGUUGUCCGGAUUUACUGGGUGUAAAGGGUGCGUAGGCGGCUUUGCAAGUCAGAUGUGAAAUCUAUGGGCUCAACCCAUAAACUGCAUUUGAAACUGUAGAGCUUGAGUGAAGUAGAGGCAGGCGGAAUUCCCCGUGUAGCGGUGAAAUGCGUAGAGAUGGGGAGGAACACCAGUGGCGAAGGCGGCCUGCUGGGCUUUAACUGACGCUGAGGCACGAAAGCGUGGGUAGCAAACAGGAUUAGAUACCCUGGUAGUCCACGCUGUAAAC
Molecule: ribosomal RNA, 628 nt
Filed under: uncultured bacterium
Lineage: Bacteria
Description: bacterial SSU rRNA
Rfam family: Bacterial small subunit ribosomal RNA
Source: RNAcentral